CCUGCCGUUAAUCAAGGAUCAGCCCCGCAGUCAGCUCCUGGGGCUAACGCUUUAAUGUGAUCCGGCGAAGCAGGGGAGAGGAGCGGUAGCGAGAGAGACGGUUGCCUUGUGAUUAUCUUCAAGUUCACUAAAGGUACCAAUCUGGUGAAAUAUAGAAGGGAAAUGGCAAGACAAACCUGCAUCAGAAUGAAAACAACACUAAAUGAAGGAGUUGGAGCAGAUGUAGGACACAGUAUGCCUUUGGAGGUGAUUCUAUCACACACGAGGCUUUGAAAAGAUCCACCAGCAAGUUAAAAGUAAUUGAAUUUAGAAAAGCAUUUGUACUUACCAAAUAUACUGCAGGGUCUCAAUGCUUUCUAGGUCAAUGCUGUAUCCGACUUAGUUUGCAGUUUUCUCAACACCAAGCAUUCAGAAAUCCUAAAUAUAACGCCAACAUCAUGUUACUUAAAUA
Aptenodytes forsteri (emperor penguin) is the source of this 451-nucleotide long non-coding RNA. RefSeq lists it as uncharacterized. The record is from RefSeq and is a predicted model, not a curated record. Lineage: Eukaryota; Metazoa; Chordata; Aves; Sphenisciformes; Spheniscidae. The transcript is spliced from 3 exons.